CUUGAAAACCCAGUUAAACCUCGUAUCAUCGUCUUCUCUUCCUACUCUACCUCUCUGCCCUAAACUUCACCUAACUGACUACGGCCAACGCCGCGCCGCCUCCUCUAAAAAGGGGAGAGGGAACCUGAAAACAAUCUAUCGAAAAUGUCUGCUAAGUGGCGGGCAUUGCAGCACCGCCACCGCUACACAUACAGCGCGGUCAUAUUCCCAUCCUCUUUUACAGACUCUUUAUCUCAAUCCCUCUUGUCCUUAAACCCAAAGUCUCAACCUUUCUUCACCGAACUCAAUCACCUCAUCUCACUAACUUCAAUCUACUCCCAAGUGGCCCAUGCCAAAAACCUUGCUUCAUCUUUCACCCAUUUAUUAGCAUCGUCCAUAGAUGGAGAUGAUACAGCGCUUUUAAAGACUGGGUCGCGCUUUUAUUUGCAUGUAUUGUUCCUUGAGAAUUCUCUGCCUUUACAUCGAACUUUAGUUUCUGCUUUAUCGAAGGUUAGCAACAGGGAUUAUCAGUCUCUGAUCGGUAAGUGUUUUAGGGAGCUUUGUGAAGAGUAUGGUAGUAGACAAGGGAAAGGGAACAAGAGCAAAAGGUUCUGUUUAUCGCGGGUGGCUUUAUCUAUUCUGGGUAUGCCUAAGUUGGGGUAUUUGGUAGAUGUCAUUGAAGAUUGUGCUCUUUUUGUUGCUUGGGAUGUCGUUUUGGGAUUGGAUAGUGUAGUUUCAGAGACGCGGGAGUGGGCUAGGCCGUCUCCCAUUGUUAUGGAGCAAUGUCAGGAGGCUUUGUCUUGUUCAUAUUACUUGCUUCAGCGGUUUCCGGAGAAGUUUAAGGAGUAUUUGAAUGGUUUUGAUGGUGAAGAGUUAAAUAUUAUGGAGAGGGUUUUGGGGGUUUUGAUAAGCGUGUUGAAAUCAACGGCCUUUUCAAGGGAUUGUUAUGUGGCGGCUGGUGUAAGCUUGUGUGCUGCUUUACAGGUGAGUCUUAGCCCUCAGGAGCUUGCGUUGGUUAUCAUUGAAGGUAUAUUUAAUCAAACUACAUGUAGUUUUCUUAAAAAUAAUUGCGAUGGUGAAUUGAGGGUUGCUCUUUUGAAGAUUCCAUUUAAAGGGGACUUGCAAUCUGAAAUAAAUAGUUUUUCUGUUUUAAGUAGACUUUGCUUGAUUAGAGGGAUUCUUACUGCUGUUUCAAGGACAGUAUUAAAUUCCCAUUUUGUUGUAUCAAAUAAUAAUUUAGACGGCCAUGAGGGAAAUGGAAUUUGUGUUGGCUCUGUUAAGACAAUUUUGUAUGAUAGGAUUUUGCCUGAGCUAUGCAACUAUUGUGAGAACCAUGUUGACAGCCAUUUUAAUUUUCAUGCCUUGACGGUGAUGCAAAUUUGUUUGCAACAGAUGAAGACCUCAAUUUCAGCUAAAAUAACUGAUAUGUCAGAUAAUUAUAAUCCUCUUUCAGAGGAAAUGGGGACCCGCAUACUGAGGAUAAUAUGGAAUAAUUUAGAAGAUCCUUUAAGUCAAACUGUGAAACAAGUUCAUCUGGUUUUUGAUCUUUUCUUAGACAUUCAAUCAACUCUUUGCAUGGAAGAGGGUAGUCACGGAAUAAAAUCAUUUCUAAAAAAGAUUGCUUCAGAUCUUCUUCGACUAGGCCCACGCUGUAAGGGGAGAUACAUCCCUUUAGCUUUAUUGACUAAGAGGCUGGGACCUGGAACUAUGCUGGAAAUGAGUCCUGACCUGCUGUUUGAAACUGCACAAGCCUACACUGAUGACGAUGUGUGCUGUGCUGCCACAACAUUCUUGAAAUGUUUCCUCGAGUCCUUACGUGAUGAGUGUUGGAACAACAAUGGUAUUGAGAAAGGGUAUGCAGUUUAUAGAGGGCAUUGCUUGCCUCCUUUUCUGUAUGGGCUUGCAUCUGGAGUUUCAAAGCUUCGCUCAAAUCUGAAUACUUAUGCUUUGCCAGUUUUACUAGAAAUUGAUGUGGAUAGCAUAUUUCCUAUGCUUGCUUUUAUCUCAAUUGGGCCUAGUGGAGAGGAAAUUGAACUGCCAUUGCCUAAGCUGGGCUUUGCGAACAUAGAACUGGGAGUUGAACAACAAGUAGCUGUCUUAAUCUCUUUGCUUAAGGUAUGUCGGUCACUUGCUUUUAUUGAGGGGGAUAUUGAUUUAUGUGACUCUUCAACUUCGACAGCACUUGAGGCAGAGAAUGGCCUAGAAACAGAAAUUAUGAAUGUAAAUGCUCUUGUCUGCAUAAAAGGGAUAAAGGUUAAGGUUCUCGUUCAAUGGCUAGUAUUAGCAUUGACCCAUUCUGAUGAGUUGCUUCGUGUAGAUGCUGCAGAGACCCUCUUCUUAAACCCCAAAACAGCUAGUAUUCCUUCCCAUUUAGAAUUGACUCUUCUGAAAAAAGCUGUGCCAUUAAACAUGAGAAGUUGCUCUACAGGCUUCCAGAUGAAGUGGACCAGCUUGUUUAGAAAGUUCUUUUCUCGAGUUCGAACAGCCUUGGAGAGACAAUUUAAGCAAGGGAGCUGGCAACCUCUUGUGAACUACCACAAUAAAGGGUCACACUCAUCUAAGGAAACCAAAGAAGGCGUAUUUAAAAGAGCAGGGAAUCUUUUUAAUUUUAUGAGAUGGCUGUCUUGUUUUUUGUUUUUCUCAUGCUAUCCCUCUGCCCCUUACAAAAGAAAAAUAAUGGCCAUGGAGCUCAUAUUGAUAAUGCUUAAUGUUUGGCCUAUUGUACCAUCUUCUCAAGAUAAUUGUGGUUCCAUUGCUUCUGAAAGCUGUCUCUAUCCAUACAGCAGAGGAAUUACUUUACCUGAUUCAACUUUGUUAUUAGUUGGAUCUAUUAUUGAUAGUUGGGACAGGCUGAGAGAGAGUUCUUUUCGCAUAUUGCUUUAUUUUCCUACCCCCCUUCCUGGAAUUUCAAGUGAAGACAUGGUCCGGAGAGUGGUUAUAUGGGCUAAGAACUUAGUUUGCAGUCCACGUGUGAGGGAAAGUGAUGCUGGGGCACUUACAUUGAGGCUUGUAUUCAGGAAAUAUGCUGUAGAGCUAGGGUGGAUUGUCAGAGCUGCUGAUGAUGUUGUUUGUUUUCAAUAUCAAUCUGAACUAGUUAAUGGUGAUAAUCAAAUUAUUGAGUCUAGGCCUCCUGUAGUCGAGUAUAUUAAAUCACUAGUUGAUUGGCUGAAUAGUUUUGUGGAGGAGGGAGAGAGGGAUCUUUCUGAAGCUUGCAAAACAAGCUUUGUUCAUGGUGUGUUACUUACCCUACGAUAUACUUUUGAUGAAUUGGAUUGGAAUUCUGAUGCUAUCUUGUCCAGCAUUCCAGAGAUGAGACAAGUAUUGAAUAAGCUUCUGGAAUUGGUAACCCGAAUCACGUCACUAGCACUUUGGGUGGUUUCUGCAGAUGCUUGGUAUCUUCCUGACAUGGAUGAAAUGGCUGAUAAUGAUAUGUACUUGAUGGAUGAAGUGGAUAUGGUAAGAUCAUCAGAACAUGGGGACAGUGAUUCAAAACAUAGGCAGGAGAGCAGACCAUCAGAACAGAUUGUCAUGGUCGGUUGUUGGCUGGCCAUGAAAGAGGUUAGUCUUCUGCUAGGAACCAUUACAAGAAAAAUUCCUUUACCAAGUAAUAGUUGCUCAGAUUCACUAGAGGCCUUUGUUUCUGAUGCUGCUGAUACUUGCCCACUACCAAAAUUCAAUCCAAUACUUGAUUUGAAACAACUAGAAGAAAUUGGGAGCCACUUCUUAGAAGUCCUUUUGAAGAUGAAGCAUAAUGGAGCAAUUGAUAAGACAAGGGCUGGAUUUACAGCACUUUGCAACCGUUUACUUUGCUCCAAUGACCCAAGACUUUGUAAGUUGACAGAGUCUUGGAUGGAGCAACUUAUGGAAAGAACUGUGGCAAAGGGACAAAUUGUGGAUGAUCUGUUAAGGAGAAGUGCAGGUAUUCCUGCAGCAUUUAUUGCUCUUUUUCUCUCAGAACCUGAAGGGGCACCAAAAAAACUUCUUCCACGGGCUUUAAGGUGGCUAAUAGAUGUUGCUAACAGCUCGUUGCUGGAUCCUGUUUAUGUCAAGGGCAUAAAUGCUGAGUCAAACACGUUUUCAUUAACAAAGUCAGACCAAGAACUUGAUUCUGCAAAGCCAUUUGAGAUGAAUGUGAUGGAGAAAAGCUCAAAGAUCCGAGAUGAGGGUGUAGUUCCAACUGUACAUGCAUUUAAUGUUCUUAGAGCUGCUUUCAAUGACACAAACCUGGCUACUGAUACAUCUGGUUUUGCUGCGGAGGCCUUGAUUGUUUCAAUUCGUUCUUUCUCCUCUCCAUACUGGGAGGUCCGAAAUAGUGCAUGUCUGGCAUACACUGCCUUGGUACGGCGCAUGAUAGGAUUCCUAAAUGUUCAAAAACGAGAAUCUGCACGACGCCUGUUAACUGGGCUGGAAUUUUUUCACAGGUAUCCCACAUUGCAUCCAUUUUUUUACAAUGAACUGAAAGUUGCAACUGAUUUGCUUGUGGAUGCAACUUCUGGGCUUUCAGAAUCCAACCUAGCAAAGGUUGUCCACCCAAGCUUGUGUUCUAUGUUGAUUCUUUUAUCCAGGCUCAAGCCUUCAGCAAUUGCAAGUGAGACUGGAGAUGAUCUGGAUCCUUUCCUGUUUAUGCCAUUCAUCAGGAGGUGCUCAAUUCAGAGCAACCUGCAAGUCCGUGUUCUUGCAUCUAAAGCUUUAAUGGGUCUGGUAUCCAAUGAGAAACUUCCAAUGCUCCUCCUGAAUGUUGCUUCUGAAUUGCCUUGCACAGAUAAUCAAAUCACAGGUGGAGCCUACCGUGCUUCCUUUAAUUCCAUUCAUGGAAUGCUAUUGCAGCUGAGUUCUCUUCUGGAUGCAAAUUGUAGAAACCUGCCUGAUAUUGCAAAGAAAGAAAAGAUUCUUGGGGACUUGAUCCAAGUUCUUGCUACACGUUCAUGGAUUGCAAGCCCCAAACUGUGUCCUUGCCCCAUUAUUAAUGCCUCUUUUGUGAGAAUGCUUGAUCACAUGCUCAGUAUUGCAAGAACAGGCUAUAUGAGUGAAAAAUUUUAUGCCAUUCAUGAUCUGCUGUUGGAGCUAUCUACAGAAUGCCUAGAUGUAGAAGAUUCUUAUGGACUUCCAUAUUAUGAUCCAACUAUAGCAGAACUUCGUGAACAGGCAGCUGUCUCCUACUUCAGUUGUGUGUUCCAGGCAUCUAAAGAAGAAGCUGAAGAGGUUCUUCAGAUGCCACGCGUGCACCUAUCACCUGAUUCAAAAUUGUUGAGCCCAACUGAAAAAAGCAUUUUUUCAGGUCUACAGGAGAGACUGAUUCGUUCCUUGUCAGAUUCAUCAUAUGAAGUUCGACUUGCAACAUUGAAGUGGCUGCUGAAGUUCCUAAAGUCUACAGAAUCUAGCAGUGAGGUUCAUCAUGUGUCUAGCAGUGAGAUUAGAAUUAUUCAGCGCUGGACUAAUUCAGAUCUCCAGGCAACAAUGUCAAAGCUCUUAGAAUGUGAGAAGAAUCAUAGAUGUACAUAUUACAUUCUGAGGAUUCUCUUCUUUUGGAACUUACUGCAGUUUAAGAAGCUUAGUGAUGAAAAAUAUGCCAACAGUAGCUAUCUUGGUACGUUGGAUUUUGAUUCCUUGUCUGAGUUUUGGGAUAAGCUGAUAUCUUUGUACAAGCUCACAAGACAUAUGAAGAUUCGAGAAACACUCAUCUGCUGCAUGGCUAUAUGUGUGAAGAGGUAUGCAAGUUUGUUAACCAGAUAUGUUGUUGCCUACAUGGAGAGCAGUGCUAGAUGUAAUGACAUGGAUCAAUUGGAGAGAUCAGCCCACUUGUAUGAAUGUAUUACCUUUUUUGUUAAUCUGAUUAAAGAACAUAGUUCUACAUCUGAGCCAGUGAACAUGCGCAAGGCAGCUGCUGAAUCUAUAAUUGCAUCGGGUCUGCUGGAACAAGCUGAAUUUAUCAGUUCUUCUGUGUUCUCUCAUGAAAUCCCUUUUGACAUUUCAGGUCUCCAUUUUGAACCAAAAGAAGCUGUUAAUAUGUAUGCUAUUCAGGUGCUGGAAAUAUGGUUCACAUGCAUUAGGUUGCUGGAGGAUGAAGAUGAUGCGGUAAGACAAAUGCUAGCCUCGAAUGUGCAGAAAUGCUUUUCUUCAAAAAGAACUAGAAGCAGCUCUAUUGCUAGAGAGGUCCCAACCCAAGUGGAGAAAGUGAUUGAAUUGAGUUUUGAGUAUCUGUCUUCUAUCUUUGGUCACUGGAUCGAUUACUUUGAUUAUCUUUCAAAGUGGGUAUUUGAUGCUGCAAAUUAUGUGGUAUCAAAAGGAGACCUUGUAAGGCGUGUGUUUGACAAGGAAAUUGAUAAUCAUCAUGAAGAGAAGUUGUUGAUCUGUCAAAUUUGUUGCUCCCAUUUGGAGAAGCUUCCAGUUCUAAAAUUAUUGUUGGGUGAAAUUCCAACCAAACAAGAGUUCAGGAAUUAUUUAUACAACUUGAGAAUGAGAUUCCAAAAUCAGCUGAUUUCAUUUGCCAAGGACCAUGUUGAGAUGCUAGGAAUUGACUGGAUAGGCGGCGUGGGUAACCACAAAGAUGCAUUUCUACCUCUAUAUGCAAAUUUGCUUGGCUUUUAUUCUCUCUCGAACUGCAUUUUCAAUGGGAAAAUUGAAGAUGGUGCGACUCUAGUAGCCGAUGUUGUCGAACUUGGUAAAAACAUCAAUCCAUUUUUUAAAAAUCCUUUGAUUUCUAACCUGUAUUUGUUAGUUGUAGAAUCACAUGAGAAAGAGGUCGGUGGGACUGCUGACCAGCUGGCCUAUAAAUUCUCAGGUGACUCAAUUUGGGACAUUUUUUAUCCCUAUUUUCUUCUUAGGUGAGAUAGAAUUUGUAAAAUAGAUGCAUAAUUUGUUUUACAAUGGCUCAAAGGGAUCAUGACAAGCCACAACCCAUCAUCUUUUUUGGUCUAAAUUCCACUGUGUCAUAUAACAUGGCUGUAUUAUUCUUUGCUAUGCUUGAUAAAGCAGAUCCAAGAUUUUACCUCUCUGAGUAAUGUAGCCUUUCUUUUAUACCAUUUGAUGUAUUGGCACUUUGUGUCUGGAAUCUUGAUGCAAUAAAGCCAUUAUGCGAUGCUUGCAUCUUCAUACUGCUUACCUUGUUUGGAUAUGUAGUCUAAUGAUUGAAUGUUUGUGAUAAUAUAAAAUAUCA
Molecule: unclassified non-coding RNA, 7135 nt
Filed under: Hevea brasiliensis (rubber tree)
Lineage: Eukaryota; Viridiplantae; Streptophyta; Magnoliopsida; Malpighiales; Euphorbiaceae
Source: RNAcentral